This 484-nucleotide ribosomal RNA is filed under the name uncultured bacterium. RNAcentral describes it as "partial 16S ribosomal RNA". It matches the Rfam family "Bacterial small subunit ribosomal RNA", at positions 29 to 523 of the family's 1533-position model. The record is from RNAcentral.
AGUGAACGCUGGCGGCGUGCUUAACACAUGCAAGUCGAACGAGAACGGGCUAUAGCUUGCUAUAGUUGUCAGCUAAGUGGCGCACGGGUGAGUAAUGUAUAGGUAAUAUGCCUCUUACUAAGGGAUAACAAAUGGAAACGUUUGCUAAUACCUUAUACUCCUUAUUAACAGAAGUUAAUAAGGGAAAGAUUUAUUGGUAAGGGAUUAGCCUGUAUUGUAUCAGUUAGUUGGUGGGGUAAUGGCUUACCAAGACUAUGACACAUAACUGGUUUGGGAGGAUGAUCAGUCACACUGGAACUGAGACACGGUCCAGACUCCUACGGGAGGCAGCAGUGGGGAAUAUUGCACAAUGGACGAAAGUCUGAUGCAGCAACGCCGCGUGGAGGAUGACACAUUUCGGUGCGUAAACUCCUUUUAUAUGAGAAGAUAAUGACGGUAUUAUAUGAAUAAGCACCGGCUAACUCCGUGCCAGCAGCCGCCGUAA